Molecule: unclassified non-coding RNA, 298 nt
Filed under: plant metagenome
Description: partial contains small subunit ribosomal RNA, internal transcribed spacer 1, and 5.8S ribosomal RNA
Source: RNAcentral
UUUCCGUAGGUGAACCUGCGGAAGGAUCAUUAACGAAUAACUAUGGUGUCUUGGUUGUAGCUGGCUCCUCGGAGCAAUGUGCACGCCCGCCAUUUUUAUCUUUCCACCUGUGCACCGACUGUAGGUCUGGAUGACUCUCGUACUCCGGUGCGGAUGCGAGGAUUGCUCUCGGGCUCUCCUCGAAUUUCCAGACUCUACGUCUUUUACACACCCCAAACGUAUGAUACAGAAUGUAGUCAAUGGGCUUGAUCGCCUAUAAAACACUAUACAACUUUCAGCAACGGAUCUCUUGGCUCUC